This 423-nucleotide ribosomal RNA is filed under the name Streptomyces sp. Its description in RNAcentral is "bacterial SSU rRNA". It matches the Rfam family "Bacterial small subunit ribosomal RNA", at positions 21 to 448 of the family's 1533-position model. The record is from RNAcentral. Lineage: Bacteria; Bacillati; Actinomycetota; Actinomycetes; Kitasatosporales; Streptomycetaceae.
GGCUCAGGACGAACGCUGGCGGCGUGCUUAACACAUGCAAGUCGAACGAUGAACCACUUCGGUGGGGAUUAGUGGCGAACGGGUGAGUAACACGUGGGCAAUCUGCCCUUCACUCUGGGACAAGCCCUGGAAACGGGGUCUAAUACCGGAUAACACUUCCACUCUCCUGAGUGGAGGUUAAAAGCUCCGGCGGUGAAGGAUGAGCCCGCGGCCUAUCAGCUUGUUGGUGAGGUAAUGGCUCACCAAGGCGACGACGGGUAGCCGGCCUGAGAGGGCGACCGGCCACACUGGGACUGAGACACGGCCCAGACUCCUACGGGAGGCAGCAGUGGGGAAUAUUGCACAAUGGGCGAAAGCCUGAUGCAGCGACGCCGCGUGAGGGAUGACGGCCUUCGGGUUGUAAACCUCUUUCAGCAGGGAAGA